UCCAGAGUAGCUCAAUGGUGGAGCACCCGGCUGUUAACCGGUAGGUUGAGGGUUCGAGUCCCCCCUCUGGAGCCA
Molecule: transfer RNA, 75 nt
Filed under: Desulfuromonas acetoxidans
Lineage: Bacteria; Pseudomonadati; Thermodesulfobacteriota; Desulfuromonadia; Desulfuromonadales; Desulfuromonadaceae
Also listed under: 1 other name
Description: tRNA-Asn
Rfam family: tRNA
About the family: Transfer RNA (tRNA) molecules are approximately 80 nucleotides in length. Their secondary structure includes four short double-helical elements and three loops (D, anti-codon, and T loops). Further hydrogen bonds mediate the characteristic L-shaped molecular structure. tRNAs have two regions of fundamental functional importance: the anti-codon, which is responsible for specific mRNA codon recognition, and the 3' end, to which the tRNAs corresponding amino acid is attached (by aminoacyl-tRNA synthetases). tRNAs cope with the degeneracy of the genetic code in two manners: having more than one tRNA (with a specific anti-codon) for a particular amino acid; and 'wobble' base-pairing, i.e. permitting non-standard base-pairing at the 3rd anti-codon position.
Source: RNAcentral